Molecule: ribosomal RNA, 425 nt
Filed under: uncultured bacterium
Lineage: Bacteria
Description: bacterial SSU rRNA
Rfam family: Bacterial small subunit ribosomal RNA
Source: RNAcentral
GGGGAAUAUUGCACAAUGGGCGCAAGCCUGAUGCAGCCAUGCCGCGUGUAUGAAGAAGGCCUUCGGGUUGUAAAGUACUUUCAGCGGGGAGGAAGGCGAUGGGGUUAAUAACCCUGUCGAUUGACGUUACCCGCAGAAGAAGCACCGGCUAACUCCGUGCCAGCAGCCGCGGUAAUACGGAGGGUGCUAGCGUUAAUCGGAAUUACUGGGCGUAAAGCGCACGCAGGCGGUCUGUUAAGUCAGAUGUGAAAUCCCCGGGCUUAACCUGGGAACUGCAUUUGAAACUGGCAGGCUUGAGUCUUGUAGAGGGGGGUAGAAUUCCAGGUGUAGCGGUGAAACGCGUAGAGAUCUGGAGGAAUACCGGUGGCGAAGGCGGCCCCCUGGACAAAGACUGACGCUCAGGUGCGAAAGCGUGGGGAGCAAAC